AAUGGGGGCAACCCUGAUCCAGCCAUUCCGCGUGAGUGAAGAAGGCCUUCGGGUUGUAAAGCUCUUUCGGCCGGGAAGAAAUCGCAUCUCCUAAUACGGGGUGUGGAUGACGGUACCGGAAGAAGAAGCACCGGCUAACUACGUGCCAGCAGCCGCGGUAAUACGUAGGGUGCGAGCGUUAAUCGGAAUUACUGGGCGUAAAGCGUGCGCAGGCGGCUCACUAAGACAGAUGUGAAAUCCCCGGGCUUAACCUGGGAACUGCGUUUGUGACUGGUGGGCUUGAGUGCGGCAGAGGGGGGUGGAAUUCCACGUGUAGCAGUGAAAUGCGUAGAGAUGUGGAGGAACACCGAUGGCGAAGGCAGCCCCCUGGGUCGACACUGACGCUCAUGCACGAAAGCGUGGGGAGCAAA
Molecule: ribosomal RNA, 410 nt
Filed under: uncultured bacterium
Lineage: Bacteria
Description: bacterial SSU rRNA
Rfam family: Bacterial small subunit ribosomal RNA
Source: RNAcentral